ACAGCUAUAGGUUAAAGGUAGACCUUUCGUCUUCCAAACGAAUUGUGUCGGUUCAAAUCCGACUAGCUGUA
RNAcentral lists this transfer RNA (71 nucleotides) under Bacidia sorediata. RNAcentral describes it as "tRNA-Gly". It matches the Rfam family "tRNA". From Rfam's summary of the family: Transfer RNA (tRNA) molecules are approximately 80 nucleotides in length. Lineage: Eukaryota; Fungi; Ascomycota; Lecanoromycetes; Lecanorales; Ramalinaceae. The record is from RNAcentral.